Molecule: ribosomal RNA, 495 nt
Filed under: uncultured bacterium
Lineage: Bacteria
Description: partial 16S ribosomal RNA
Rfam family: Bacterial small subunit ribosomal RNA
Source: RNAcentral
GACGAACGCUGGCGGCGUGCCUAAUACAUGCAAGUUGAGCGAUGAAGCUUGGUGCUUGCCCCAAUUUGAAGAGCAGCGAACGGGUGAGUAACGCGUGGGGAAUCUGCCUUUGAGCGGGGGACAACAUUUGGAAACGAAUGCUAAUACCGCAUAACAACUUUAAACAUAAGUUUUAAGUUUGAAAGAUGCAAUUGCAUCACUCAAAGAUGAUCCCGCGUUGUAUUAGCUAGUUGGUGAGGUAAAGGCUCACCAAGGCGAUGAUACAUAGCCGACCUGAGAGGGUGAUCGGCCACAUUGGGACUGAGACACGGCCCAAACUCCUACGGGAGGCAGCAGUAGGGAAUCUUCGGCAAUGGACGAAAGUCUGACCGAGCAACGCCGCGUGAGUGAAGAAGGUUUUCGGAUCGUAAAACUCUGUUGGUAGAGAAGAACGUUGGUGAGAGUGGAAAGCUCAUCAAGUGACGGUAACUACCCAGAAAGGGACGGCUAACUACG